Molecule: ribosomal RNA, 497 nt
Filed under: uncultured bacterium
Lineage: Bacteria
Description: partial 16S ribosomal RNA
Rfam family: Bacterial small subunit ribosomal RNA
Source: RNAcentral
GAUGAACGCUGGCGGCGUGCCUAAUACAUGCAAGUCGAGCGAACAGACGAGGAGCUUGCUCCUCUGACGUUAGCGGCGGACGGGUGAGUAACACGUGGAUAACCUACCUAUAAGACUGGGAUAACUUCGGGAAACCGGAGCUAAUACCGGAUAAUAUAUUGAACCGCAUGGUUCAAUAGUGAAAGACGGUUUUGCUGUCACUUAUAGAUGGAUCCGCGCCGCAUUAGCUAGUUGGUAAGGUAACGGCUUACCAAGGCAACGAUGCGUAGCCGACCUGAGAGGGUGAGCGGAGACAGUGGAACUGAGACAAGGUAGAGAAUCGUAAGGGAGGCAGAAGUAGGGAAUAGUGGAGAAUGGGCGAAAGCAUAAAAGAGCAAUGAAGAGGGAGUGAAGAAGGUCAUAGGAUCGAAAAACUGUGUAAGGUGGGAAGAACAAAAGUAGAAGAAUACCUGCCUGGCUGGACGGUACAUAAAGAGUAAGAACCGGCUAAUUUCGUG